This 253-nucleotide ribosomal RNA is filed under the name uncultured bacterium. RNAcentral's name for it is "partial 16S ribosomal RNA". It matches the Rfam family "Bacterial small subunit ribosomal RNA", at positions 524 to 776 of the family's 1533-position model. The record is from RNAcentral.
UACGAAGGGGGUUAGCGUUGCUCGGAAUCACUGGGCGUAAAGCGCACGUAGGCGGAUUGCUAAGUCAGGGGUGAAAUCCUGGAGCUCAACUCCAGAACUGCCCUUGAUACUGGCGACCUUGAGUCCGGGAGAGGUGAGUGGAACUGCGAGUGUAGAGGUGAAAUUCGUAGAUAUUCGCAAGAACACCAGUGGCGAAGGCGGCUCACCGGCCCGGUACUGACUAUGAGGUGCGAAAGCGUGGGGAGCAAACAGG